RNAcentral lists this ribosomal RNA (808 nucleotides) under uncultured Veillonellaceae bacterium. Its description in RNAcentral is "bacterial SSU rRNA". It matches the Rfam family "Bacterial small subunit ribosomal RNA", at positions 69 to 849 of the family's 1533-position model. The record is from RNAcentral. Lineage: Bacteria; Bacillati; Bacillota; Negativicutes; Veillonellales; Veillonellaceae.
ACAGACAGAGAGCUUGCUCUCUUGAAGUUAGUGGCGAACGGGUGAGUAACGCGUAAUCAACCUGCCCUUCAGAGGGGGAUAACAACGGGAAACCGUUGCUAAUACCGCGUACGAUUCACAGGCGGCAUCGCUUGUGAAUGAAAGGUGGCCUCUAUGUAUAAGCUAUCGCUGAAGGAGGGGAUUGCGUCUGAUUAGCUAGUUGGAGGGGUAACGGCCCACCAAGGCAAUGAUCAGUAGCCGGUCUGAGAGGAUGAACGGCCACAUUGGGACUGAGACACGGCCCAAACUCCUACGGGAGGCAGCAGUGGGGAAUCUUCCGCAAUGGACGAAAGUCUGACGGAGCAACGCCGCGUGAGUGAUGAAGGUCUUCGGAUUGUAAAGCUCUGUUAAUCGGGACGAAAGAGUUCUGUGUGAAUAAUGCAGAAAAGUGACGGUACCGGAAUAGAAAGCCACGGCUAACUACGUGCCAGCAGCCGCGGUAAUACGUAGGUGGCAAGCGUUGUCCGGAAUUAUUGGGCGUAAAGCGCGCGCAGGCGGCCUAUCCAGUCUGUCUUAAAAGUUCGGGGCUCAACCCCGUGAUGGGAUGGAAACUAGUAGGCUAGAGUAUCGGAGAGGAAAGCGGAAUUCCUAGUGUAGCGGUGAAAUGCGCAGAUAUUAGGAAGAACACCAGUGGCGAAGGCGGCUUUCUGGACGAAAACUGACGCUGAGGCGCGAAAGCCAGGGGAGCGAACGGGAUUAGAUACCCCGGUAGUCCUGGCCGUAAACGAUGGGUACUAGGUGUAGGAGGUAUCGACCCCUUCUGUGCCGG